Molecule: ribosomal RNA, 253 nt
Filed under: uncultured bacterium
Lineage: Bacteria
Description: partial 16S ribosomal RNA
Rfam family: Bacterial small subunit ribosomal RNA
Source: RNAcentral
UACGAAGGGGGCUAGCGUUGCUCGGAAUUACUGGGCGUAAAGGGCGCGUAGGCGGCCCUGUUAGUCAGGCGUGAAAUUCCUGGGCUCAACCUGGGGACUGCGCUUGAUACGGCAGAGCUUGAGGAUGGAAGAGGGUCGCGGAAUUCCCAGUGUAGAGGUGAAAUUCGUAGAUAUUGGGAAGAACACCGGCGGCGAAGGCGGCGACCUGGUCCAUUACUGACGCUGAGGCGCGACAGCGUGGGGAGCAAACAGG